CAGAGUUCAUGCCCUUCGGGGUAGAUCUCCCACCCUAUGUAUUUAUACCUUUGUUGCUUUGGUAGGCCGCCGGGCUUCGGCCAGGCUACCGGCUCCGGCUGGUAAGCGCCUGCCAGAGGACCAAACUCUGAAUUUUAGUGUCGUCUGAGUACUAUAUAAUAGUUA
This 165-nucleotide unclassified non-coding RNA is filed under the name uncultured Helotiales. RNAcentral's name for it is "sequence contains ITS1". The record is from RNAcentral. Lineage: Eukaryota; Fungi; Ascomycota; Leotiomycetes; Helotiales.